RNAcentral lists this ribosomal RNA (440 nucleotides) under uncultured bacterium. RNAcentral describes it as "partial 16S ribosomal RNA". It matches the Rfam family "Bacterial small subunit ribosomal RNA", at positions 338 to 795 of the family's 1533-position model. The record is from RNAcentral.
CCUACGGGAGGUUGCAGUGGGGAAUAUUGCACAAUGGGGGGAACCCUGAUGCAGCAACGCCGCGUGGGUGAAGAAGUACUCCGGUAUGUAAAGCCCUGUCAGCAGGGAAGAAAAUGACGGUACCUGACCAAGAAGCCCCGGCUAACUACGUGCCAGCAGCCGCGGUAAUACGUAGGGGGCAAGCGGUAUCCGGAUUUACUGGGUGUAAAGGGAGCUUAGACGGCAAGGCAAGUCUGGAGUGAAAGCCCGGGGCCCAACCACGGGACUGCUUUUGAAACUGUGUUGCUGGAGUGCAGGAGGGGUAAGCGGAAUUCCUAGUGUAGCGGUGAAAUGCGUAGAUAUUAGGAGGAACACCGGUGGCGAAGGCGGCUUACUGGACUGUAACUGACGUUGAGGCUCGAAGGCGUGGGGAGCAAACAGGAUUAGAUACCCGGGUAGUC